UGCAUUGUAUCCAAUCCAGAUGGUCUUUUUACCUGAUUAUAUUGAGUUCUUUCAGUACAAAGCACGUAAACAGGCAUCUUCAGGAUUAGCCUCCUUUGUUCCAACAAAUAAUAGCAUGACUUGUGUCUCCCAAUCUUCACCUUCUGAGUCUUGGGUCAUUGAUUCAGGUGCAUUUGAUCAUAUUUCUGGUAACAAAUCUCUUUUCACUAGUAUUACAUAUUCUCAAUCUCUUCCAACAGUCACAAUGGCAAAUGAGUCUCAAGUCAUGGCAAGUGCAAUAGGUCAAGCAAGUCCACUUCCUUCCUUACCUUUAGACUUCGUUCUUUAUGUUCCAAUGGGUCUUAAGCCAUGGCAAGUGCAAUAGGUCAAGCAAGUCCAAUUCCUUCCUUACCUUUAGACUUCGUUCUUUAUGUCCCUAGGAGUCUUUUUAAUCUCAUAGCCGUUAGUCGCUUAGCCAAAUCAGUUAAAUCUAUUAUUUUAUUUCUUGAUGACCUUGUUUUUAUACAGUAACGCAGUAUGGGUCGGAUCAUUGGUACCGAACGUGAAUCAAAUGGACUUUAUUACCUUAUUUUUUGCAAAAUCACAUGGACUCGCAUCUUAUCUUUCCUCCAAUAAUUUGUCCUAUUACUGAUUCACCAGAUUUAUUAUAUAAGCUGUUAGGACAUCCCAAUUUGUCAAAACUUCAGAAAAUGGUACCUGGCUUAACUCACUUGUCCACUCUAAAGUGAGUCGUGUCAGCUCAAUAAGCAUACCCACUCCCAUUUCCCGCGGCGUCUUGAUAAUCGAGCAACGUCACCUUUUACUUUAGUCCAUUCAGAUGUUUGGGGUCCUAGUCGGCUUUUCUACCUUGGGAUUCUGCUACUUUGUCAGUUUCAUUAAUGAUUAUUUCAAGUGCACUUGGAUAUUUUUGAUGAAAAAUCAAUCUGAGUUGUUUUCAUUUUUUCAUACCUUCAUUCAAAAUCAAUUUGAGGUUUCUAU
RNAcentral lists this long non-coding RNA (978 nucleotides) under Nicotiana benthamiana. Its description in RNAcentral is "long non-coding RNA (NBEN_LNC037718)". Lineage: Eukaryota; Viridiplantae; Streptophyta; Magnoliopsida; Solanales; Solanaceae. The record is from RNAcentral.